GCGUUGUUCGGAAUUACUGGGCGUAAAGCGCACGUAGGCGGAUCGGAAAGUUGGGGGUGAAAUCCCGGGGCUCAACCCUGGAACUGCCUCCAAAACUAUCGGUCUAGAGUUCGAGAGAGGUGAGUGGAAUUCCGAGUGUAGAGGUGAAAUUCGUAGAUAUUCGGAGGAACACCAGUGGCGAAGGCGGCUCACUGGCUCGAUACUGACGCUGAGGUGCGAAAGUGUGGGGAGCAAACAGGAUUAGAUACCCUGGUAGUCCACGCCGUAAACGAUGACAACUAGCUGUUGGGAGACAAUGUCUCUCAGUGGCGCAGCUAACGUUUUAAGUUGUCCGCCUGGGGAGUACGGCCGCAAGGCUAAAACUCAAAUGAAUUGACGGGGACCCGCACAAGCGGUGGAGCAUGUGGUUUAAUUCGAUGCAACGCGAAAAACCUUACCUACUCUUGACAUACUUGGAAGCUCUUGUAAUGACGAGUGUGCCUUAUGGAACCAAGAUACAGGUGCUGCAUGGCU
This 513-nucleotide ribosomal RNA is filed under the name uncultured Pseudomonadota bacterium. Its description in RNAcentral is "bacterial SSU rRNA". It matches the Rfam family "Bacterial small subunit ribosomal RNA", at positions 538 to 1050 of the family's 1533-position model. Lineage: Bacteria; Pseudomonadati; Pseudomonadota. The record is from RNAcentral.